RNAcentral lists this ribosomal RNA (1149 nucleotides) under Triticum aestivum (bread wheat). Its description in RNAcentral is "partial small subunit ribosomal RNA". Lineage: Eukaryota; Viridiplantae; Streptophyta; Magnoliopsida; Poales; Poaceae. The record is from RNAcentral.
AUGGAAUCCUCUACUGCAAACCCUACAUGGAGGCCAAUGUACACCCCUGCACCUGAAGGCUUGCUAAGUUUUGGACAAUUCCCUCCAAUGCAUCCUUAUAAUUUUCGACCUCCGCCAAUGCACCACCCUGAACAAGGACACAAAAAUAUGGAGAAUUUGCAUUUUGUUGGGGCUUCCCCACACGAUUCCUUUUCAACACCACCGCCACCACUGCACCCUAAAGUUGCAUCUCGGUCUGCUCCCGCCAAAGUGGAUUCUACUUCCUCCAAAAGGAAGAAGCGGAAGGUCACCAAUGUAGAUGACGAUGAAUUGGGAGAAAGGACCGCAUAUCGUCUGCCCUAUUUACCCGAGGAACAUGAAAGACUGGCAGGCGCUUGGCUGGAGUGUUCACUCGAUCCCAUCAAUGGGAACAGAAAGAAGAAUGAGCGGUUCUGGGAUGACAUUGCUGCUCUAUACAACAUUGCUGCUCUAUACAACAGUGCCACGCAAAGUAACCGAAAGAGAGAUCGGGAUCAGUUGAAGAUGGAGUGGCAAAGGACCAAGAAAAGGCUCGCCGCUUUCCAUGGUGAGUGGAUUGACGUAAUUGGAGUGUAUCGUAGUGGUUGCAGCCAACAUGACCUGGAAAAAAUGGCUUUGGAGAAGUAUGAACAAAACUAUCACCAGCCUUUCCAACAUUUAACUAUGUGGGCAAAACUCAAGGAUGAUGGUAAAUGGCUAGCCUCUUACAGAAACAUGACGGAAAAAGUAGGGAACAGAACAUCUGUGGAGACCAAUCUCACACCAAAUAUGAUUAACUUGGAGGCCGAGGAGCGCCCAUCAGCUGGCCGUGAUAAGGCUAAGGUUGAACGUGCUGGUAAAGGCAAGUCAGGAGGGCUCUCACAAGAGCUUGGAGAAAGAUUGGAAAAAUUCAUCGAGGUUAACAAUCAAUCAAUGGAGGACCGUCAAAAGGUGAUAGACAGCCAGGUGAUUCUAUCAAAUCAACAGCUUGAGACUGCGAAGAUCAACAACAAAACAAAAUUGUUGGAUGUUUACUCCAAAAUGCUUUUAGCGGACACAUCUAAGAUGGAUGACGCUGAAAAGGCUCGACUUGCUAAGGCUUUGAGUAAAAUGGAGCCCAUGUUAUUUCCUGAAGGAGAUUCAGUUGAUUGA